Molecule: unclassified non-coding RNA, 373 nt
Filed under: fungal sp.
Lineage: Eukaryota; Fungi
Description: partial internal transcribed spacer region
Rfam family: Eukaryotic small subunit ribosomal RNA (bases 1-46)
Source: RNAcentral
AAGUCGUAACAAGGUUUCCGUAGGUGAACCUGCGGAAGGAUCAUUAAAGAUGUUUAAUAUAAAUAUCGUCAGUGUGCAACCCUCCUCCUGUUGCUGGGAUGAUGUGAGUACAUGUGUUGUUUAGGCAUGUGUAUGUGAUGAGUAUGUGUGUGAGUGUGAUAGUUUCUGUGAAGAUGGAAACUGGGCCAUGCAUGUAUUUAGAGUGUAUACGUGGACAACUAGACUACAUCUACGAGCAUCGUCUAAUGCCCAGCAACAACCCCAUUCAUCAUUUAUACAUGACCGCGCCUACUCUUGUCGAUUCUCAAUGGAUUGAUAUAUGGGGAUGGCUCAAUACAAUGUACAACUUUUAGCAACGGAUCUCUUGGUUCUC